RNAcentral lists this ribosomal RNA (516 nucleotides) under uncultured fungus. RNAcentral's name for it is "SSU rRNA". It matches the Rfam family "Eukaryotic small subunit ribosomal RNA", at positions 214 to 732 of the family's 1831-position model. The record is from RNAcentral. Lineage: Eukaryota; Fungi.
AUAAAAAACCAAUGCCUUCGGGCUCCUUGGUGAUUCAUGAUAACUUAACGAAUCGCAUGGCCUUGCGCCGGCGAUGGUUCAUUCAAAUUUCUGCCCUAUCAACUUUCGAUGGUAGGAUAGUGGCCUACCAUGGUUUCAACGGGUAACGGGGAAUUAGGGUUCGAUUCCGGAGAGGGAGCCUGAGAAACGGCUACCACAUCCAAGGAAGGCAGCAGGCGCGCAAAUUACCCAAUCCCAAUUCGGGGUGGUAGUGACAAUAAAUACUGAUACAGGGCUCUUUUGGGUCUUGUAAUUGGAAUGAGUACAAUUUAAAUCCCUUAACGAGGAACAAUUGGAGGGCAAGUCUGGUGCCAGCAGCCGCGGUAAUUCCAGCUCCAAUAGCGUAUAUUAAAGUUGUUGCAGUUAAAAAGCUCGUAGUUGAACCUUGGGUCUGGCUGCCCGGUCCGCCUAACCGCGUGCACUGGUGCGGCCGGAUCUUUCCUUCUGGCUAACCUCAUGCCCUUUACUGGGUGUGCU